Boleophthalmus pectinirostris (great blue-spotted mudskipper) is the source of this 507-nucleotide long non-coding RNA. RefSeq lists it as uncharacterized. The transcript is spliced from 3 exons. Lineage: Eukaryota; Metazoa; Chordata; Actinopteri; Gobiiformes; Gobiidae. The record is from RefSeq and is a predicted model, not a curated record.
CCUGUGGUCCUAAUCACACUGUGUGCACUGGUCUUCUACAGAAAAAGGAAAGUACAAAAUGAGAAUGAAGCAAAUGAUGAGGUUGUGAUGUACGAGAACUGUCCAGCUCCCCCUUCAGAGCCUGCAGACUCCACUUACCAGAGUCUCAGUGCAGACACAAGAGACCACACCCACAUCUACAGCUCCCUCCACCCACAGCCCCCACCCAGCAGCAACACCGCCCCCUGCUGAUCAAAGCCUCUGACUACACCCAGUCAUGUCAAAAGUGAUGCUGAAUAUGUCGGGAAUAUUUUUACAUGUGACGCAACAAUCCAGGCAAAAUAAUAAUAAACAUUUUUGAGUGUUGAGAGAAGACGACUUUGAAUUAAUGGAUUAAAUAAACAUGUGAAUGAAACAAAAUACAAUUCUGGGUAUGUUUUUGUCGAGGGGAAAACAGAAUAACAUUUUUAAAUCUUUUAAAAUGUCGUUUUCUUUCAUAUGUGUGUCAUUUCCUUGUAAACCUAAACA